RNAcentral lists this ribosomal RNA (508 nucleotides) under Metamycoplasma hominis. RNAcentral's name for it is "bacterial SSU rRNA". It matches the Rfam family "Bacterial small subunit ribosomal RNA", at positions 503 to 1019 of the family's 1533-position model. Lineage: Bacteria; Bacillati; Mycoplasmatota; Mycoplasmoidales; Metamycoplasmataceae. The record is from RNAcentral.
AUGUGCCAGCAGCCGCGGUAAUACAUAGGUCGCAAGCGUUAUCCGGAAUUAUUGGGCGUAAAGCGUUCGUAGGCUGUUUGUUAAGUCUGGAGUUAAAUCCCGGGGCUCAACCCCGGCUCGCUUUGGAUACUAGCAAACUAGAGUUAGAUAGAGGUAAGCGGAAUUCCAUGUGAAGCGGUGAAAUGCGUAGAUAUAUGGAAGAACACCAAAGGCGAAGGCAGCUUACUGGGUCUAUACUGACGCUGAGGGACGAAAGCGUGGGGAGCAAACAGGAUUAGAUACCCUGGUAGUCCACGCCGUAAACGAUGAUCAUUAGUCGGUGGAGAAUCACUGACGCAGCUAACGCAUUAAAUGAUCCGCCUGAGUAGUAUGCUCGCAAGAGUGAAACUUAAAGGAAUUGACGGGGACCCGCACAAGCGGUGGAGCAUGUGGUUUAAUUUGAAGAUACACGGAAAACCUUACCCACUCUUGACAUCCUUCGCAAAGCUAUAGAGAUAUAGUGGAGGUU